Molecule: long non-coding RNA, 224 nt
Filed under: Manihot esculenta (cassava)
Lineage: Eukaryota; Viridiplantae; Streptophyta; Magnoliopsida; Malpighiales; Euphorbiaceae
Description: long non-coding RNA (MESC_LNC004967)
Source: RNAcentral
UAGCAAGCCUGCUACACUCUCUGAGUACCUGUAAAAUCCCCUACAUGAUCAUACAUGUUCUGUAAAAACAUAAAAUUUUGCUCUGAACCAAGGUUCAACCUGUGCAUGCACUAUCUCUGUACUACAGAACCCCUUACUAGAGCUUGCUCUAGACGGGUUAAACUCAUACAUGUUAAGCCUGGUUUUCACAUACUCAUAAAAACAUUUACAUAAAACAAAUCAUG